CAAUAGCGUAUAUUAAAGUUGUUGCAGUUAAAAAGCUCGUAGUUGGAUUUCUGGUUAAAGCGACCGGUCGGGCGUUGAUUCGUCUGCACUGGAGUCGGUUUUGGCCAUCCUCUAGGAAAGUGCGUCUGGUAUUAAGUUAUCGGGCGUAUGAUCCUGGUCUUUUACUGUGAAAAAAUUAGAGUGUUUAAAGCAGGCCUUCGCCUUGAAUACAUUAGCAUGGAAUAAUAAGAUAGGACUUUGGUCUAUUUUGUUGGUUUGCAGACCGAAGUAAUGAUUAAUAGGGAUAGUUGGGGGUAUUUAUAUUCCGAUGUCAGAGGUGAAAUUCUUAGAUUUUCGGAAGAUAAACUUAUGCGAAAGCAUUUACCAAGGAUGUUCUCAUUAA
Molecule: ribosomal RNA, 382 nt
Filed under: uncultured eukaryote
Lineage: Eukaryota
Description: partial 18S ribosomal RNA
Rfam family: Eukaryotic small subunit ribosomal RNA
Source: RNAcentral